Molecule: transfer RNA, 71 nt
Filed under: Onychodactylus zhaoermii
Lineage: Eukaryota; Metazoa; Chordata; Amphibia; Caudata; Hynobiidae
Description: tRNA-Thr
Rfam family: tRNA
About the family: Transfer RNA (tRNA) molecules are approximately 80 nucleotides in length. Their secondary structure includes four short double-helical elements and three loops (D, anti-codon, and T loops).
Source: RNAcentral
UACUUAGAUAGCUUAAUUUAAAGCACUGGUCUUGUAAAUCAGAAAUGAAAAAUAAAAUUUUCUCCAAGUAU